This 189-nucleotide ribosomal RNA is filed under the name uncultured bacterium. RNAcentral describes it as "partial 16S ribosomal RNA". It matches the Rfam family "Bacterial small subunit ribosomal RNA", at positions 1304 to 1500 of the family's 1533-position model. The record is from RNAcentral.
UCUGCAACCCGACUCCACGAAGCUGGAUUCGCUAGUAAUCGCGCAUCAGCCACGGCGCGGUGAAUACGUUCCCGGGCCUUGUACACACCGCCCGUCAAGCCAUGGGAGCCGGGGGUACCUGAAGUGCGUAACCGCGAGGAGCGCCCUAGGGUAAAACUGGUGACUGGGGCUAAGUCGUAACAAGGUAAC